This 69-nucleotide unclassified non-coding RNA is filed under the name Caenorhabditis briggsae. Its description in RNAcentral is "Cb234.1 C/D snoRNA". It matches the Rfam family "Nematode snoRNA ceN47", at positions 1 to 66 of the family's 155-position model. Lineage: Eukaryota; Metazoa; Nematoda; Chromadorea; Rhabditida; Rhabditidae. The record is from RNAcentral.
UUAAAUGAAGAAAUACCAUCCUUGCUCUGCGAUGGCCGUCGAACACAUACACUUGAGAAUUCUGAGUGA